GAAAAUGCCUUGGAGUUCCCUCGUACAUUCUUCUAGCUUUGUAGAGCUCUGCUUUUUCCAUUCAUACACACUUGCCACAUGCAUGAUGUGAGGGUCUUGUCUCUUGUGGCUGCCGUCUUCCUUCCUGUACAUAAAUCUGGUAAGUACAUCUAAACUGGAACUUUACUCCUGCUGUACCAUAUCAAUCCUAUCAACUUCCACUUAUACCCGCUGCAAAAAAUAUAUCCACUUAUGCUCCUGCUAUAUUAGAUUUCCAUUUUCUUCUACAUGGCAGAAAGUAUUUAAGAUUUGCUUCUCAACGCCCCUUGUCUUUCCACAAGUCUGAGAAAACCAACCUGAUUAUCUGCAAGUCUCUCUUAUCUUUGCUAGAUGUAAUUACCAACAUAAUCUGUGAUCACCAUUUGGUUUGGUUCUUUGUACAGGUGUUUGUUUGAUCUUAUAGGUUUCUUCAUAUUCCGACUUCCUAUUUUGGGUGUUACAAUCAAAAUAUCAGUAUGGCAUAAGUAUGGAACAAAUGAGACUUUUGCGUCAAGCUGCUGAUAUUAAGGUGGUCAUUUCUUUCUUCAUAUUCUGCUAUGUUGCUAUCAGUACCAGGUGUUCCUGCAUUCCUAAUUUCUGUUUUCUUGUUUUUCAGGUGUUAUAGCGUUUGUUUGGUAGGCUUUGUAGCCACUUAUGUUUGCAUUUUGUCCAAAACUCAUGAAGACCGAUGGUAUACCUGUAAAGUUCAGUUUUAGGGAUUAAAGGAUCAUCUUUGGCUUAGUUAUGGAAAACAAUGAGUUGUCAGUGUUUUGCUACUGAUAAGGUUUGCAGUUUUGCCAUCCAGUCUAAGUUACUGAUACCAGG
RNAcentral lists this long non-coding RNA (843 nucleotides) under Triticum aestivum (bread wheat). Its description in RNAcentral is "long non-coding RNA (TAES_LNC003827)". The record is from RNAcentral. Lineage: Eukaryota; Viridiplantae; Streptophyta; Magnoliopsida; Poales; Poaceae.